CCAACAAAGAGAGGCAAGACCGCGAGGUGGAGCAAAUCUCAAAAAGCCGUCCCAGUUCGGAUCGCAGGCUGCAACCCGCCUGCGUGAAGUUGGAAUCGCUAGUAAUCGCGGAUCAGCAUGCCGCGGUGAAUACGUUCCCGGGCCUUGUACACACCGCCCGUCACACCAUGGGAGUCGGAAAUGCCCGAAGCCGGUGACCCAACCAAAAGGAGGGAGCCGUCGAAGGCAGGUCUGAUAACUGGGGUGAAGUCGUAACAAGGUACC
RNAcentral lists this ribosomal RNA (264 nucleotides) under uncultured bacterium. RNAcentral's name for it is "partial 16S ribosomal RNA". It matches the Rfam family "Bacterial small subunit ribosomal RNA", at positions 1236 to 1500 of the family's 1533-position model. The record is from RNAcentral.